Molecule: transfer RNA, 75 nt
Filed under: Candidatus Nomurabacteria bacterium RIFCSPHIGHO2_02_FULL_33_12
Lineage: Bacteria; Candidatus Nomuraibacteriota
Also listed under: 1 other name
Description: tRNA-Arg
Rfam family: tRNA
About the family: Transfer RNA (tRNA) molecules are approximately 80 nucleotides in length. Their secondary structure includes four short double-helical elements and three loops (D, anti-codon, and T loops).
Source: RNAcentral
GCCCUUGUAGUUAAAUGGAUAUAACUGCGGACUUCUAAGCCGUUAUUGUAGGUUCGAUUCCUACCGAGGGCACAA